RNAcentral lists this long non-coding RNA (11471 nucleotides) under Brachypodium distachyon (stiff brome). Its description in RNAcentral is "long non-coding RNA (BDIS_LNC000277)". The record is from RNAcentral. Lineage: Eukaryota; Viridiplantae; Streptophyta; Magnoliopsida; Poales; Poaceae.
AGGCCAUGUGAUUCGCGACUGGAACGGAAUUCUUGUGGGCUGUGCCAAUGGAAGCCGGCCUGAGCCGCGCCGCCGCCUCCGCUAGGGCAGGGAGCAGCUCGUCGUGGUCUUCCGACUCCCUAAACUCCACAGGUGCCCUUACUUUCCGCUCCCGUCUCUUCCACUCUUUCCGCGAUCCCUUUUCCGUCCGCCUUCCGCGCUCGCCUGCGACUGCGAAGCCGCCGGAUCUCCGGCCUCCGGCACCAGUCGGAGAGGUUUGGGCCGUUUAUUGCCAAGCUGUAGGUCCCGAAAUCGGCAGCGCGGCUAAUCGAUGUAGAACCUUCCAGUUAGUGGUAUCCGGGGAUUGCUACUGUACUAACUAACCCCUGUUGGGGCCAACUGCGAUUUACAGUAGUGUUGCUGUGCGGUUCGUUGUUACUUAAAAUCGUCAUGUUCCCAAAUCAUGGAGUCUUAGUAUCUGUACUGAAUUGGUCACCUCUUGACUGCUCAAUGCAUUGCCAGACAACGCUGCCGGGCUUGAACUUUAAGGAUGUGGAGUUUGGUGUUGAGCUGGAAAUGUAGCACUAGGAUCAUGAUUCAUGUACAACAGCACAUGUGGUUUAGCAUUUAACACAAUGCAGCUCUAGGAUCAUGCACAGGUGGUAAUUUUGCUGUAACUUUAUGCACAGGUGGCACUCACCCGAAACGUCCACAAGCAUUGAUUUACAAUUAUUUGAAGACAGAUGAUGAAUAUGCAUUAAAAAACUAGUGGUCACAAAGCAGACAAAUAAUUACAGAUAGAAGUUGAACAAUAUGAUUUUAGUUACAAUAUCCUUUAAUUUUACUAGAAAUGGAAAUAUUGUUCAUCUAAAGAAGACAGUACACAUCAUUAGGAAUUAGAUUACAGACAUGAUAUAUCUACAACUAUAUCAUGCCGACUCCAAUCCCAGGAUUGUUCUUUUGCCCUCGCAAUCUGCCGCUCUUGAUAUCAAAUAUAAAUUGAUGGCAUCCCUUCUUGAAUUGUAAUAGAAAAUUCACCACAACUGUAGACGUAGAUUCUCUUACAACUCACUUAUAAAAUGGGGAAACUGACUGUGUUCUACUACCAUCAGUGAAUGAAUCAUUAUCAGUCGCGACUCACGACCCAUAAGUUCUUUGCUUUUGCCACAAGAGUAGAUAUAGGCAUGCUAUAUGCCAUGAACCCUUUGUUGCCCAAGAAGAUCCUGUAGUUCUCAUCCUUCGACAUUGUUUGUUCUACCGUUGACAGUGCUUCUAUCAUCCUGAAUUCGUUGAAACAGUCUGCAUAUUGAUAAUUGCAAUUCUCCAUGCAAAUGACUUGCUCAAGUAUGACCCUCCUGAUCCCAGGACAAUGAGCACUAGGUCCGUCAUUCAACACGAUGACAAGCCUCUUCACAAAUGCCCGCUUAAUUUGACUGUUGUGUAGUUCUCGGGCAAAGUCAUCAGGAACGAUUUCACAAAUCUGUGAACUAAGGCCAAUGAGGAUCUCUAGUUCUGCCCCUUCCAUGUCCAUUAUUCUUUUGAACAUCUGUAGUGAAAUGUGUCAUGAUUAGUAGUAAUAUAAUGUACCACUACACCUAUAUAGUUCAGUGAUAAAUAACCACGCAGAAGUAAAAAAAUGCAUGUCAAACUUUCACCAAAAACAUACACACAAGAGCAAAUGAAAAUUUCAUUAUCCACCUCCAAUAGCGCACUUGUUGCUUGAAUUAGCAGGGCUCACCUUUUUCAGGGGAUGGUGUAGUACCUUCUUGUCCGAUUGUGUGAGAUGGAGUCCAGCGUGCAAGCACAGAUUACGCAACAAGCUUGCAGCCACAUAUAUGUACUUGUCAUCAUUGGUCAGGAUCAUAGCUGUGAGUUUCUUAAUGAACUCUGGUUCCUUCAAAAUAACAAAGCAACUAUGCUCACUCUCUGUUGUCAGCACUGCCAGUGCUUGCCCCGCAACCUUCUGUAGCGAGUGAUCAGCAUUGGUACUCGUGAUUGCUUCUGCACUUAGAAAUAACUGCAUCAGCAUGGUAAUGAUAGGUUGGAUGUGACCAAUCUCCUGCCUUGUGUUCCCAUCAACGGCAAGAUUUUUGAGGAUUGCUGCCACCAACUUUUUAAAUUCCUGACUGCUCAUGCUGUGUCCCAAGAUCUCUGUGAGGUUUCUCAGCAGGAAGGGGUGUUUUGAUAUCUUGUACCUCAGUGUUAUGCCGAUUUCCCCGUCAAUGCUUGUGAGCCUUUGUAGCACCUUCAGUGAUGACUUCAGCAGGACCUUUUGUUGUGCUUCGGUAUUCAUCGUGUCACUUCUGUAGCUUGCAAAUCCAAUGAUCUUCGGGAUGAGGUCAGCGUCUUUACUGAUUUCCACACAAUUGUCCUGAUCAUGGCCAGCAAGACUGCCAAUAAUUGCCAUUGCCAGUGCAGGGAGAAGAUCAUGGUCUGUCGACAGCUGCUCCUGGGGAAUUGACCAGAAUUCUGAAAUCCACUGCUAGCAUCUGAGCAUGCAGUUCUGUUCGUUGGUGCCAAAUGGCUGGGUUGACCUGGCUUGUGUUUCCACCAGGUUACCAGUCCCCAACAGCUGGUCUCGUCUUUGCUCUCGGUUAUCAGCUACAUCCCUUACUGCGUCGUGUUCUUCAUCUUGGCUGUCUUCUGUAUUUAGAAAUGGAUCUUGUUUUUCUUCAUCAACAGUAUCGAAAAGUGGGUUUCCUCUUUUCGGUCUGCCGUCAGCGUCAAGAAGUGCAGAUAAAAUCUGUACUGUACCAGGGAAAGUGACAACAGAGAGGUUCUUUGCAAGCACAGAGUGACCUUCGCGGCAUAUAAUCUGACAGUUGCAUCCUUUGGACAUGUCCAAUCCAUCAUUCUGAUUAUUCUGGCCACCGUCUCGAUAGAAUUGGCAAGUUUUGAAAGGAGAUGUGCCUUGGUUGCCUCCCUUUGCAGUAAGCUGUGCAUCACUUGAAUCCCGUGGAGCUGAUUCUUGGAUGAGUCUGAGUUUAUAGAAUCCAUGGCAAAGGUGCCCAGGCUGAUCUUCUUUGGAGCAAGCACGCCAUCAUGCAUGCAUUUAUCUAAGGCAUAUGCAUAGUACAGAUUGACAGAUUCCACUCCCCACGGUCCUCUAAAUCCGCUAGAAUGGACGAGAGAUCUCCGAGGGAUGAACGAAAAGAACUCGAGCACACAAGCCCAAAGAUAGAGCAGUCCUUGUCCAAGCACCAUUCCGUAGAAGAUUCUAAGAGAUGCCACUAGGUUACCAUCGUAAGCAUUUCUGUCCUUAAGCUUUUUGAGGCUCCACAGUGCCAGAAAUACACGCACCACUGCUGCUGGAAUCUGGAAGUUGCCAAAUGACAGCACUGCUAGGGCACCCACUUGGAUUAUUAGAAUGACAGGAAACUUCUCAUGUGGAUCUAUGCCUAGCAUGAUCACCUGUGUCCCUAGGGCCGCAAUUAUGCACAAGUUUAGGAGAACUUGACGACAAGUUCUUUUCUUGCUGCCCAAGGCUCUUUCAACUAGUUCGCUGAUUAUAGGGAAUUGCAGCCUGCUUAUGGUUACCAAUAUCACUGGCACAAGUAGUGUUGUGAAUAUUAUCCACCUGAUUGAUGGUUUUAUUUCAUAUUUAUCAUCAUCUGGGUUGUCGCUAACGUGAACAGAUAGAGGAGGAACCAUCAGUAGGAUUGCAACUAAGGGGCUCCAUAGCGAUGUGACCCGGCGUAGCCGUUUGCCUACGUGCAGGUUAUGCCCAGACAGGAACCGGGCACUUGCAAGUGUUAUUGUCAUCAAUAGAAGGCCCAUACUAGACAGAUAAUCUUUCUUCAGUAGGAUCAUGAAAACAUCGAAAAAGCAUAGGGUCAUAAUCAGUCCAUUCGUGCCAACAGGUCUGAAAGCACCCCUGGUGUUGAAGAACAGUUGGUAAUCCAGCCUGUUGUUGCGGGUUAACAUCCUGAGGCAUGUAUAUAUAUGGGCAUCAUUAAAUGGACAUAAUAUAGAUCACAAAUUCAGAUCAUAACGUUCGUAAGAAAGACAGGCAUGCAAUUUGGUGGCACUGAUAGAUACAGGGAAGAAAGAGGUAGACAAUACUUCCUCCGAUCCAAAAAAAAUAUCGCCCAUUUUAUACUAAGUUAGUAUAAAAUUUGUACUAAGUUGGCGACACUUUUUAUGUAUCUGAGAAAGUAUGUCUUUUUUAAAACAAAAGCUAGUUUCGACUUUCAAGAUGGAAGUUUUCAAUACAUACCAUAUUUACUUAGUUUCAGCUUUCAAGUAUGAAUCGUAAUACUUCUCAUAAUGGUUUUUUAGCAAGUUAUCUUAAGCAUUUUGCUGACGUGGUACACAAUUAGUGAGAAAACCGUUCUUACGUUAGCGACUGUCUUUUCACACUAUUAUUAAAUAAAUGCUACUCUCCUGACCCAAAACUUUGUACUAAAUCUCCGACACCUUAUUAUGGAUCGGAGGACACUAAGAGACGAUGUGAGAUGGUCUCCUUAGUGUCCUUGUACUUUAGAUAGACACUAAGAGACAAUGUGAGAUGGUCUCCUUAUCAUUUAUUAUGGGCUUAAGGACAACAUCUAAGAGACGAUCCAUUAUGGCCUGUGGGAGACCUAAUCUUUGAUGAAAAAUUAGUUAUGGAGUUUAUUGGUAUUUUUUGUAUAUCCUGAGAUAAUUGUUACCACUAUUUACUGGAGUACUCCAUCCGUUCCAAGAUGUAUGGUGUAUAACUUUUGUUGAUUGUGAAACUUUCUAAGGUUGACCAACUAUAUAACAGAAAUAAUCAACAUCUAUGAGGUCAAAUGAUGAUCAUCACUAUUGUGAAAUAUAUUCACAUAAUUAAUAUCUUAGUUUGGCACUCCAUAUGUCGAUAUUUUUUGCUAUAUAUAAGUUAGGACAAAUUUCAAAUCGAGUUGACAGUUAAUAAAAGUUAAACGCCAUACAUUUUGAAACGGAGGAUGGAGUAGCAUAAUUUCGAGGGACAAGAAGACGCAAGCAGUUAAAAUAGUUUGCGACAGUACCUCGCGGCUUCGAGGAAUACUAUGAUCGUGGCAAACUUAAAAUCCAUCCUCGUGGGAGUUCAGGUCCUUGGCGUAGCCGCCGAGCAGGACGACGGUGGCCCAGGUGAAGGCCAGCGUGCCCAGCGGCCAGCGCGUUCCCCACCCUCUCCAUCAGCGCGAUAGAGCGGACGAAGCCGUUCAGCCACUUCUCCGGCUUGGCUGCUGCGGCGGCGGACGCCAUGGGUGCCGCCGAUCCGCCGCCGUGAGCCGGCAUCUGGAGGCGGUGCUCUGAUCCCCCGCCGGCGCCGCUGGGCAUAUUGCUUAAUUAGACGCCGCCGAGCUGGGAGACAACGCGCUGCUAGGCGGCUAGCUCAAGUGCUCAGGCCGCCUUCGAUCUCAACGGCGAUGUACUUAACUUAAUUAACGAGGUUGAUUAAGGGAACGGCUAGAGGCAGAUUAACACGCAAAGGAUCGGAUGCCAUCCCAUCCAGGCAUCCAUUGAUGCAAAGUUUGAUUAAUUAAGGUCUAAUUAGAACAUGGUACUACUCGUUAGUGAGUGGCAACUUUCUUUCUCGGAACAUGCGCGCUAGCUGCAAGUUCUGUUGCUGAUUGCUUUGAACGCUGCCCGGCCUCACGCGCCACCGUCCGUUUCCCACACGAGCUAGCUCACGUUUGUGAGUGCCAACUUUUUCCCCGGGUCAUGUGACCUGAACUGAAACAAUGGUCAAUGUAGCGCAUUUGUUCACUUCGCCUCCACCUCUAACGAUCUAUUUAGAUCACAUCCAGAUUAGUCACAACUCAUUUUCUCUAAGUUUAUACAACAAUAUAGAAAAAAAAGAUCAAAAUUUACAGCACUAAAACAGUUUCAUUGUAUCCAUAAAAAAUAAGUAUGCACAUUGUAUUUAUUUUGUAUUGUAUCACGCUAAUAUAUUUUUACAUAAACCUAGUUGAACUUUUCUAAAUUUUAGAGUAAAUUAUAUAAAACCACCACUUUUGGGAUAGGUUACCACCAUGUUGAUUUUUUGUUGCGCGGAAUCACCACUUUUGGUGUAGUCUGUUGCUCCGAGUUCAAACAGUCGAAUUUAGAUGUUCAAACCGGUUCUGGCAACAUAAACCCACCAGUUUGUUUGUGUGGCGACGGCGGAGCUCACUAGAGAGGAGGAAGACGGCGAAGUUGGCGGAGCUCUGCUCGGUGCACGGUGAAGGGGCCUCAUCACCGCGAUCCACGGCAAGGCAUCGAAGUUGGCUCCGUCAGCGCCGAGGCGACCAUAACGAUGGUGGUGUGACAAGGAUCUCGUGGAGGCGGCGGAGGAGCGCCUGGGCGUGGGAGGUCCGAGCCACGGCGUCUUCGGUUCCAUGGUGUUGACGUAGUUCUCUGGGAUGAGACAACCGGACUGGGGAGUGGCUGAAACGGUGGCGGGUGCUUCACCUGAGUUGGAGAAGAAGGGUCCGGCGCGGCGGAUUUGAGCGCGCUCGGACCUCUGGAAGGGCGCGACAAACUCAGGGCGGCGCAGCGUGGCUUCUAGGCUCGGUGCAAGGGCGAGUGAGGCGGCGGACGAGUUUGCCGUGGGAACAUGUGUCGCGAAUGGGUCCGUGUUGUCACAAAUCAGCUUAGCGACUAGAUUCAACUGUUCGGGUUCGGAUUUACACCUUAGAUGGUUUGGUUACCCAACCUAAUCUCCAAAAAUGAUGGUUUUGCGCUGUUUACUCUAAAUUUUUUCCUAUUUAGAGACAGAAGAAGUCUUUUCUUUGACACGAGAAGAAGUAUAAAUUAGACAACAGUGAUUUGGGAAGCGGCGACAGCGGGGAGGAGCUAGCCGGUCGAGCCCCUCGACGGGCCGCGGCCACCAACUCCACCACGGCAGCGAGCAGCUCGACGUGGACUUCCAACACCCAAACUCCGCAGGUGCCCUUUACGUCUGCUCCCGUCUCUUCCAAUCUUCCUGCAUUCCCUUUUCCGCCCGCCGCCUUCCGCGCUCGGUGCGUGCGAGAGCCGCCGGAUCUCCGGCCUCCAACACCCCAUCGGAGAAUAUUAGGCCGUCUAUUGCCAAGCUUUAGGUCUCAAAGCCGCCCAAUUCGGCAGCGCGGCUAAUCGAUGUGUAGCAGCUUCCAGUUAGUGGUAUCUGGGGAUUGCAGAUUGCUACUGUACUGACUAGUGUGGUGCUGGGGAACGAAAGGGGAAUUGACAGUGUUUGCUGUGUGGUGUGUUGUUGCCAUGCUCCCGUCCUGCCAUCCGCUACUAAACUACACGGUUCUUAGUUAACAUCAUUAUUCAAAAUUAAUCAUGAGUCUUAGUAGAACCUCUACUGAAUUGGUCACCUCUUGACUGAUGAAUGCAUUGCCAGACAAUGCACGCUGGCAGGCAUUUUUUAUAAGGGAAAUUUUAUUGAAUUCUCAUCGUCGCAUCAAGGAUAUAUAACACAUGAGUUCAAAUACCCGACCCGUGCAUAACAAGAUGCACAAACACAGCCAACAGAAAGAAACCAACUCCAAACAUGGAGUUAAGGGUAUGGAGUUUGGUCUUGAACUGGAAAUGCAAAACUAGGAUCACACACAAGUGGUUUAUCAUUUCAUAUUGAAUCACAAUGCAGCACUAGGAUCAUGCACAAGUGGAAAUUUUGCUGAAACUUUAUGCUAAAAUGUGUUGUCCACAAGCAUCGAUUUACAAACAGUUGAGGGCAAAUGAAUAUGAAUUGAAAGUACCAGUGGUAACCAAGCAGAGAAAUAAAUUAGAUAUAAGGCGAUAUGAUUAUAAUUACAAUAUACUUUCUUUUGAUUGCAAAUGAAAAUAUUGUUCGUUCCAAAAAAGACAGUACGUAUCAUUAAAAAUCAUACUCCAACUAUAUCAUGCCCUUGUGAUUCCAAUCCCUGGAUUGUUGACCUCGCAACAACUGCCGCUCUUGAUAUCAAAUCUAAAUUCAAGGUGUCCCUUCUUAUAUUGGGAUGAACACUUCGACACAAUUGUAGAUGUAGAUUCCCAUAUUACUUAUAAAUGGGGAAAUUAUGUAUUAAUAAGUCCUACCAUCUACGGACGAAUCGUUAUCAGUCAUGGGCAGUAAGUUCCUUUGCUCUUGCCACAAGAGCGGAGAUGGGUGUACUGUACUCCAUCAACCCUGUGUCGCCCAAAAAGAACCUGUAGUUCUCGGCCUCUGACAAUGUCUGUUCUACUGUUGACAGUGUUUCUGCCAAUUUGAAUUCAUUGAAACAGUCUGCAUAGGCAGCAUAGCAAUAAUUGCACUCCACCAUGUUAAUGACUUGUUCAAGUAUGACCCUCCUGAUCCCAGGACAAUGAGGCUGAGCUCUAGUUUUCGUAUUUGCAUUCAACGCGUCAACAAGCCUGUUCACAAAUCUCCGCUUAAUCUGAAUGUCAUGUAGUUCUCGGGUAAAGUCUUCAGGAAUGAUUUUACAGAUCUGUGAACUAAGGCCAAUGAGGAUCUCUAGUUCUGCCCCUUCUAUGUCCUUUAUUCUUUCCAACACCUGCAGUGAAAUAUAUCAUGAUUUGUAAAAAACUAAAAAUAUACUGUACAGCUAGUCAGCUACACCUAUAUAGUUCAGUGUUAAAUAACUGUGCAGAGGUACAAAAUUGCAGGCCAAACUUCCACUAAAAACUCAAGUACAAGGACAAAUGAAAAUUGAACUAGGUAUCUCUAAUAGUUGACUUGUUGUUUGAGUUAGCAGGGCUCACCUUUCGCAAGGCAUGAGGUAGUUCUUUCAGGUCCGACUCGGUGAGCUCGGUUCGAGCAUGCUGGCAGAGAUUACACAACAGAGUUGCAGCCACAUAUAUGAGCUUGUCAUCAUGGAUCAUAAUCUUGAGUUUCUUAAUGAACUCUGGUUCCUUCAACAUAACCAAACAAUUCUGAACACUCUCUGUUGUCAGCAUUGCAAGUGCUUGCCCUGCGACCUUCUCUAGCAAGUGAUCAGCAUCGGUACUUUUGGUUCCUUCUGUAUUUAGAAAUGCCUGCAUGAGCAUGUUAAUGGUCAGUUGAGUGCGACCAAUCUCCUGCCUUAUGCUCCCAUCAACGGCAAUGUUUCUAAUGAUUCCUGCCACCAAUUUUCUGAAUUCCUGGCUGUUCAUGCUGUCUUGCAAGAUCUCUGUGAGAUUUCUCAGUAGGAAGCGAUGUUUUGAUAUCUCAUACCUCAGUGUUAUGCCAAUUUCCCCGUCAAUUCUUGUGAGCCUUUGCAGUACCUUCAGUGAUGACUUUAGUAGGACCUUUUGCCGUACCACAUCACUUGUCGUGUCACUUUUGUAGCUUGUGAAUCCUAUAAUCUUUGGGAUGAGGUCUGCUGCUUUGACGAUUUCCACACAGUUGUCCUGACCACAACCAGCAAGAUUGCCUAUAAUCGACAUGGCCAGUGCAGGUAGAAAAUCAUGGUCUGUUAAUGGCUGCUCCUUAGGAAUUGACCAGAAAUCUGAAAUCCGCCGCCAGCACCUGAGCAUGCAGGAAUUCUCUUCGUUGAUGACAACUGGUUGGGUUGAGAUGGCUUGUGUUCCCUUCUGGUUAUCGGUGCCCUGAUGUUGGUCUCUUAUUUGCUCUUGGUCAUGAGCCACAUCCCUUAGCUCGUCAUGUUCUUCCUCUUGGCUAUCUUCUGUGCUCAGAAAAUGAUCUUGUUUUUCUUCUUGUUCAUCAUCUGCAUCCAGAAGUGGGUUUCCUCUUUUCCGUCUACUGUCAACGUCAAAAACUGCAGAUACAUGCUGCACUGUACCGGGGAAAGUGGCAACACAGAGGUCCUUGGCAAGCUCAGUGGUGACCUUUGCGGCAUAUAAUCUGAUAGUUGUAUCCUUUUGACUUUUCCAAUCCAACAUUCUGAUUAUUCUGGUCAUCGUCUUGCUGGAACUGGUAAGUUCUGAAAGGAGCCAUGUCUUGGUUGGUUCACUUUGCAGAAAGCCGUGCAUCAUCCAUAUCCCGUAGAACUGGUUCUUGGAUGAGUCUGAGUUCACAGAAUCCAUGGCAAAGGUGCUGAAGCUGAUCUUCUUUGGAGCAAGCACACCCUCUUGCAUGCAUUUCUCGAAGGCAUAUGCAUAGUACAGAUUGACAGAUUCCACUCCCUGCUGACCUCUAAAUCCACCACAUCGGACAAGGUAUCUCCGAGGGAUGAAUGAGAAGAACUCGAGCGCACAAGCCAAAACAUAAAGCAUUCCUUGACCAAGAACCAUCCCGUAGAAGAUUUUAAGAGAUGCCACGAGGUUAUGAUCGUACUUAGUGUUGUCCCCAAUUGGUCCAAGGCGCAACAGUGACAGCACAAUGCGCACCACCGCUGCUGGAAUCUGGAAGUUGCCAAAUGACACCACUGCUAAGGCACACGCUUGGACUAUCAUGAUCACAGAGAGGUCCAUAUCUAGACGCAGCAUGAACACCUGCAUCCCCAGCGCGACAAUCAUACACAGGUUUACAAUAACUCGACGCCAAAAUACUUUUUUGUUCCCGAGAGUACUAUCCACUAGUUUGAUGAUUCUUGCAAACCGUAGCCUACUUAUUGUUACCAAAAGCACUGGCACAAGUAGUGUUGUGAACACAAUCCAUCUGGUCGAUGUGUCUACUGGAUGAUCGUAAGGAUCAUCAUAUAUGUAUUGACUAACAGAAUCUGGCAGAGGGGGAGCCAUCAGUAGGAUUGCAACCAAGGGACUCCAUAGCGAUGUGGCACGGCGCAGCGGAUUGCAUAUGUGUAGUUUCAGCCCAGACAGGAACCGGCCAAUUGCAAGUAUUAUUGCCAUUAAUAGAAGGCCCACAUUGGACAUAUAAUCUCUCUUCAAUAGGAUCACGAAAACAUCGAAGAAGCAUAAGAUCGCAAUCAGUGCAUUCCAGCCAACUGGUCUAAAAGCACCCCUGGUGUUAAAGAACAGUUGGUAAUCCAGUCUGUUGUUGCGGGUGAACAUCCUGAGGUAUGUAUGUAUUGGUGUUGUCAUGGCAUGAUAUAAAUAACAAAGCCAUAUCACAAAGUUUCUAAGGAAAAUAGGCAUGCAACUGGAAUAAACAUAAUUUGAGUAGAUAAGAUUCUCAAACAAAAAAAAGUAGUACUUACUCCGAUCCUAAAUUCUUGUUGUCGAACUAAAACCACGACAAGAAUUUAGGAUCGGACGGAGUAGAUCAUAAGUUCAUAGCAGUGCUGGUUUCAGUAGCUAAGCUGCCUUGGUGGCAUUGAUUGAUCCAAUAACGAGGUAGAGCAUAUUUUGUAGAGUGAAAAACUAUAGUUUCAAGUAUGGAAGAUUCCAAUAAAUACCAUGCUAGUUUCAAGUUUGGACCGUUACGCAUGAUGCCAAUUAGUUUAUUUUGUAGAUUUUUUCUGUAGACUUGGUUAAAGUUUGACUUGGCAUAAAGUUAGAACUUCUUACAUUUAGGCAUGGAGGGAACAGAGGGAGCAGCAUAUAUAGUUCAGUUUGCAUGCAUAUAUAAUUAUAUUUACCUUGUGGCUUCCAGGAACACUAUCGCUGUCGCGUACCAAAAAUCGAAGUGGGAGCCGUCGUCCUUGGGAUCAUCCUUGCCAAGGUCACUGGCGUAGCCGCCGAGCAGGACGACGGUGGCCCAG